Molecule: non-coding RNA, 75 nt
Organism: Haemonchus contortus (barber pole worm)
Lineage: Eukaryota; Metazoa; Nematoda; Chromadorea; Rhabditida; Trichostrongylidae
Source: Rfam
GGCACAAAUUCGAAGUAAGGUAGUUUAGUAGGGUCAGUUGAUCCUACUAUUCGACCUUUCUUGAAACUUGUGCUC